AGCUGCAGGAGAUCAAAGUCUUCCAGGAGAUGCAGCUGCUUCAGCUGUCUGCAGACAAUUAUCACCUUCAGCCUGUGGGGCAAUUUUGGGUCUGCCUCCAGUUAAUGGAGUGGCUCAGUAAGACUGAGAGUGGCAGGAGCAUCCCUGCGAGAGGCCUGACCCAGGUGUGUAGCCCAAGCAGCCAGCCCGGAAAUCCAAUGGGGUGUUCUUGGGGUGCAGAGGAUUUGUGACAGUCCAUACACAGAAAAAGGAAAAGGUGGCUUUGAAGAGGCAAGUGCAAAGAUACCAGAGAUGGGGUAUUGUCAUUUUAGGCAGUGAAUUGACGGUUUCACUUACCAGGGAGCUCCCAUCGUGAGCUCCCAAAAGGCCUAACAACUGCUAGGCCCACGGGUCAUUAGCUCCACCUUUACGGAGAAGCUGCACUAUGCAUGUCAGAAGCGGGGUAGGCAGGGAUGAGGGAAAGGACGGGAUAAGGAAAGAAAAGAUGUGCGCUGAGCUGAGCUGCGGGAGGGUAAACCUAACUACGUAACAAUGAGCAGGCUGUGAGAGGCUCCUUGCCCCUUGCAGAUUUGUGAAAAAUCAAACUUCCGCCCAAGAAGCCGGCAUUUCAGGUAGGGGCGAUGAUGUCACAAUCACAGGUUGAGAUCUGCUGCCCAGGCCAUGCUUGCUCCCCGCAGGCAGGCGAGAUUUCGGAACAGCCAGGACCUCCUCCGCAUGGGGGAACCGCUCUAGACGCUCAGAGGGGCGGAGUUGAAACGGACCUGACUGGCCAGUGUCUCAAAGACGUGGAUGGUGACCAGCUCUCUCCAGAACAGAUGGCGCUCCAGCUUUGUGGGAGAAACUUUCAAGUUGCAAGUUGGAUUUGUUACUCUCAUAUGUGGAUCUGGUUUCCAGGUGGUUUGGUGACUCUCAAACCAUGAUUCAGCAGACCUGUGAGGCUGUGAGUUCCCUAUCAGAACACAAUCUGCAGGUUGUAUUGUGCCAUAUAUCUGUGUCCAAAUUAUAAGCACAAUGAUGAAUCUUUUACUGGGAGUCAAGAUAUGUGCAGGAUGGUGAAACUUAUCACUGGACCUUUCCACAGUGUUAUUGUCACAUAUACCUUUGUCCAACAUAUGGAGUCUUGCUCUGUUGCCCAGGCUGGAAUGCAAUGAUGCAAUCUCAGCUCACUGCAACCUCCAUCUCCCAGAUUCAAGUGGUUCUCCUGCCUCAGCCUCCCAAGUAGUUGGGACUACAGGUGCUGCCUUCAGGAGGGAUUAUGACAUAUGCCUGGACCAAACACCUGGAUGACGUGACACUCCUGCAUGAGCCUUGCCCUAAGGGGAUAUUUUUACAUGUUGGUGAACUCAGCAUCUAGGUGAUGUGACUCUACUCUUCUGCCUGGGCCCUGCCCACAGAGGGCAUUGGAACAUUUCACUUGGCUCAGCACCAAGAAGAUGUUACUCUCCUACCUGGACCUCUCCCACAGGGGACACCUAGAUGAUAUGAUUUUUCUUCCUGGUUCCUGCCCAGACUUCAAAUUGUGAUGUAUAUCUGGGCCCAAAACACAGGGUCCAGGCAACAGAGGAGAGACACAUCACCUAUAUGAUUGGCCCAGCGAUGGGUGAAAAUCCUCUCUGAGAGCAGGGCCCAUUCAGGAGAGUCAUAUCACCUAGCUGCUUGGCCAAGUGAAAUAUCACAAUGCACCCUUUGCACAGGGCCAAUACAGGACAGUUACAUCACCAGGGAGCUGGGUCCAGCUAUAUGUCACAAUUCCUUUUGUGGAAAGUGUCCAGGCAGAAAAGCAGAGUCACAUCACCUAGCCAGUGGGCCCAGAGAGAUGCCACAAUGCCAUUUGUAGGCUGGGCCCUGGGAGAAGAAUAACAUCACCCAGUUCUGGGCCCAGCAAUAUGUUGUGAUCCCAACUGGAAAAAGUUUCCAGACAAGAGAGGAGAAUCACAUCAUCAUGAUGAUAAGCCAAGAGAUUUCACAAUCCCCCCCUCUGCACAUGUCCCAGGCAGAAGACCUGAAUUACCUUUUUACUUAGGCCAGUAAUGUCACAGUGCUUCCUCAGGGCAGGGCACAAACAAGAUAGGACAGUCACAUCAUUAAGUGCUAGACUUAAUGCUAGAUAUGUCAUAACCUUACUUGUGGGCAGGAUCCAGGAAGGAGAGAUUUAUGUCACCUAGGUGCUCAGUAAAGAGAUAUAUUACAAUUACAAUUCCUUUGAGGGAAGUGGCCAGGCAAAAUAGUCACAUCACCUAGGUGCUUGGCCCAGGUAUAAGUCACAAGAUAUCUGUGUGUUGAGCCCAGAAGGACUAUCAAAUUACGAAGUUUCUACGUAGAAGUGCAUGUCACAGACACCUGCAGGAAGGCCCAGGAAUGAGACUCCCAAUUCCACACAUUUUCCCACUCCAAGUGUAAGAGUCAACAACUCCUGAGACUUAGGCCCAAGUACAUGAGUCACAAUCUCAACAGUGGAUUGCAUCCUGCCAUGAGAGCCCCAAUCCCUUCUCUAAGCUGUGUUCCAGUAGAGGAGUCACAACAUCAAUGGUGUGCUGAAUCCUGGUUGGAGAGUUCCCACUUCACCUGUGGACUGGAUCUGUAUAUGAGAGUCUCAAUUCCAGCUCUCAACUGCCCCUGGGUGUGAGAUUCAGGACCUCAAUUGUGAGCUGUGUACACAUGGACAUGUAACAAUUUCUACUUUUGGCUGUGUGUUCAUACAAGACUCAAUCUCAUCUGUGUUCUCGGCCCUGUUAUGACACUCUUUGUACCACCCAUGGGAUUUAUUCAAUACGCAUGGGUGUCAUAAUCCUCUGUGAUCUUCAUACAAGUAGAAGACCCAGGACCUUACCCAUGGCCCUAGGCCUAUCUAUGAGAAUUGACAUUUUUCCUCACAUUUUUAAUUUUAACAAAUAAGUUAUUCUCCUGUCAGUUCAGAUUCAUCAGGACAUUGAAUCAUAUUCAGAAGAAUUAAAACUGAAAGACUAAUAGGUUUGUUAAAGCAAUGCAGGUUGUCAUACUAAUAAACCCUAAAAUUUCAAAGGCUUAGCAAAAUAAUACAUUUUCUGCUUACAUCACCAUCCCCUUUGGCUUAUUUCUGGUUAAGAGAACUUCUUUGUGAUUAUUCGGAGAUUAGAUUUUUUUAAAAUUUCCUAUCUGCACUCUCUCUUUCUUCAGCCAAUAGAUGAAAAAAGAUGCAAAGAAGACACAUUUGCUUUUUAUGCACACAUCACUUCCAGUCACUAUGUUGAGCAGAGUCAGUGUGAGGACAAUUGAGAAUAGCAGUUUUCUGGCAGGACAGCCACUUCUCAGCAGAAGAUGACACAAUAAAAGUAUAAAUCUUUCAUGGGAGGCUCACAUAUUUUCAGCAAAUUAAGCAUAUGCAUGAAUAAAAUUCUUGUGGUAAAAUAAAG
Molecule: long non-coding RNA, 3392 nt
Filed under: Homo sapiens (human)
Lineage: Eukaryota; Metazoa; Chordata; Mammalia; Primates; Hominidae
Description: HSALNT0341174
Source: RNAcentral